RNAcentral lists this ribosomal RNA (253 nucleotides) under uncultured prokaryote. RNAcentral's name for it is "partial 16S ribosomal RNA". It matches the Rfam family "Bacterial small subunit ribosomal RNA", at positions 525 to 777 of the family's 1533-position model. The record is from RNAcentral.
ACGUAGGGUGCGAGCGUUAAUCGGAAUUACUGGGCGUAAAGCGUGCGCAGGCGGUUUUUUAAGACAGGCGUGAAAUCCCCGGGCUUAACCUGGGAACUGCGCUUGUGACUGGAAGGCUAGAGUACGGCAGAGGGGGGUGGAAUCCCACGUGUAGCAGUGAAAUGCGUAGAGAUGUGGAGGAACACCGAUGGCGAAGGCAAUCCCCUGGGCCUGCACUGACGCUCAUGCACGAAAGCGUGGGGAGCAAACAGGA